RNAcentral lists this ribosomal RNA (463 nucleotides) under uncultured bacterium. RNAcentral describes it as "partial 16S ribosomal RNA". It matches the Rfam family "Bacterial small subunit ribosomal RNA", at positions 28 to 507 of the family's 1533-position model. The record is from RNAcentral.
GAUGAACGCUGACGGCAUGCUUAACACAUGCAAGUCUUUGGCGAAGCUGUGCUUGCACAGCCUAGCCCAGGCGGACGGGUGAGUAACGCGUAAGGAACUUGCCCUGCAGUCAGGGAUAACAGACGGAAACGACUGAUAAGACAUGGUAAAGUAAGGCGGACUAAUGUCCAGCCUGAUGAAAAGUGAUGCUGCAGGAGAGACUUGCGUCCUAUUGGCGUGUUGGUGGGGUAAUGGCCCACCAAGCCGAUUAUAGGUGCCAGGCCUGAUAGGGUAGACGGCCACAAGUCGACUGGGAUGCGGCAGUUAGUACUACGGGACGCAGCAGGGAGGAAUAUUGGACAAAGGGGGCGACCCUGAUCCAGCUAUUCGGUGCGCACGAUGAUGGUUUUCGGAAUGUAAAGAUGUGUCAGCAGGGAAGAAAAAAAUGACGGUACCUGCAGAAGAAGCGACGGCUAACUACGUG